Molecule: ribosomal RNA, 741 nt
Filed under: Triticum aestivum (bread wheat)
Lineage: Eukaryota; Viridiplantae; Streptophyta; Magnoliopsida; Poales; Poaceae
Description: partial small subunit ribosomal RNA
Source: RNAcentral
AUGGAUACAGGCGCGUCUAGUUCGGGGUCCAAAACCGAUCUGGAAGCCAUGAUGAAGGAACUAGGGCUCAAUGAGGAAACCAUAGAAGAUGUGAUCGUCGAGGAGGAGGAGUUGCCGGCUGAAGAUACCAGAUGGAUGGCUAUGGCACGAGUCCACACAAACAAGACAUACAGUCAGUAUUGGUUCUUCCGGAACAUGAGGGUGGCUUGGGACCUGGCGCAGGUGGUGAAGUUCCGACCAUUGGAAGAAAACCUUUAUACGCUGCAGUUUUCAUGCUUGGGUGAUUGGGAACGAGUCAUGCAGGAGGGGCCAUGGGUGUUCAAGGGCAAGGCAGUCGUGAUAGCUCCCUACGAUGGUUUCACACGACCAUCAACCAUAGGCCUCAACAAGCUGGAUAUCUGGAUGCAAAUCCACGAUUUACCGGAUGGUUACUUCUCCAAAGUUAAAGCUCUGUCGGCAACAGUGGGCGAGUUCAUAUAUGCAGAGCCAAAGUCUCCUGAUUUUGAGGGGAAUUUUUGUAGGGUGCGUGUCAAGAUAGAUGUCACAAAGCCUCUCAAGAACGCGGUGUCUUUGGUGGUCAAGGGAAAGCAAGAGGUUACUAGGGAAAUCUUCAGGGUGAAGUUUGAGAGGCUUCCGGACUGGUGUGCAGUUUGUGGUCAUCUGGGUCAUCUUUUCAAGGAGUGUGAGGACGGGGUUCAUCACCCGAGCAAGCUUGUCUUUAAAGAUCUGCAAGCCACCUAG